GGUCUCCUUGACAGAAAACAAAUAUUGAAGCAGGCAAUCAACUGGUGUGGGGUUAUCACAGGGGGUUGCCAGCAUGACUGCGGAUUGUUGCUUCCACUUAAAAGACAGUGACUUCCAGCCAUGUCCACUUCUGCCCAUCCCAGCUCUUAAUUUGUUUCCAUGAAAAGAAAAUGUGAACCAAAAGAGAUAUAAACAAGCAAAUUACUAUUCCACCUGUGGACACCUGCCUUUGGAUUUGAAUGAAAAGCCAGUGAAUCGUGGGCCUUGUUCUAUGUUUCACUUGCAAGACCUGCGUGGAAAUGGGACACAGAGUGAGUCGAAUUAACUUGGUCAGAUGCUCUUACCUCAGGGGUCAGGGCACUGUUACGUGAUGUCUGACUGGAGAACACGAUGUGGGUGAAUCCAUCUUCCUUCCUGACCACAAUGUCUCAAAUAUAGACUGUUAUUUUCAUUUUGA
Long non-coding RNA from Ornithorhynchus anatinus (platypus), 457 nucleotides. RefSeq lists it as uncharacterized. The transcript has 2 exons. NCBI's taxonomy places the organism in Eukaryota, Metazoa, Chordata, Mammalia, Monotremata, Ornithorhynchidae. The record is from RefSeq and is a predicted model, not a curated record.